GCGGUGCCCUGUGGGACAUGGAUGGAAUGUGUUAGCUGGGGGAAAAGAAGGACUUCUAACUGCUAACAAAAGGUGCUUUGCUUUUGGUAAUGAUAACAACCGAAGUGAUCGUGGAAGAGAAGCGUGAGAUCAGCCAGGCCCUGCAUUCCCCUCUGCCUUCCUCAGAAACUGCUCGGGCACUGCAGGCUGUGUCCCCACACCUGGGUUCUCCAGUGCUGGCAGACUUGGAGGCUGCGUGCAGAAGGCACAUCUAGUAUGGAGGAUGUGGAUGUUCCUUUGGUUUCCUGAUGAGCUGCCCGGAUCUGUUUGAAGAGGAAGUCGAGGCCGCGUGGAGAGCAAAUAGAGAAGGCACGAAGUUGGGAAAGCAGCAAAAGGGAACUGCCCCUGGCAGCGGUCUCCGUGACGCCAUCCCCGCUUAUUGACACACUGAGGGCUCUUCAGCCGCGCAGAGCUGUGAAAUUCAGAGCACGCGGCGUCGCUCCAGGAGCGGAGCAUAAACAGAGCGGGGCUCCUCCAAAGCUGAAAUAUUUGACGACGUUUUCUAUUCUUAGCCAUCCGAGCACACGCUCGCGGAACGGAGUCGGAGCGCUGCGUGUCGGCGGGCAGCCACGGGCUGGGGAAGCGCCGCGGCUUCCGCGCACGGCGGGG
This is a long non-coding RNA of Gallus gallus (chicken), 648 nucleotides long. NCBI's taxonomy places the organism in Eukaryota, Metazoa, Chordata, Aves, Galliformes, Phasianidae. The record is from Ensembl.